CGCGAGUGGUCGGGGUGUUUACUGGGCUUAAAGCGCCCGUAGCCGGCCCGGUAAGUCGCUCCUGAAAUCCCCGGGCUCAACCCGGGGGCGGGGGGCGAUACUGCCGGGCUAGGGGGCGGGAGAGGCCGCCGGUACUCCGGGGGUAGGGGCGAAAUCCGUUAAUCCCCGGAGGACCACCAGUGGCGAAAGCGGGCGGCCAGAACGCGCCCGACGGUGAGGGGCGAAAGCCGGGGGAGCAAAGGGGAUUAGAUACCCCUGUAGUCCCGGCCGUAAACGAUGCGGGCUAGCUGUCGGUCGGGCUUAGGGCCCGGCCGGUGGCGAAGGGAAACCGUUAAGCCCGCC
RNAcentral lists this ribosomal RNA (342 nucleotides) under bacterium enrichment culture DGGE band 60_2_FGQ_Ac. RNAcentral's name for it is "bacterial SSU rRNA". It matches the Rfam family "Archaeal small subunit ribosomal RNA", at positions 483 to 825 of the family's 1478-position model. The record is from RNAcentral. RNAcentral also lists the same sequence under 1 other name.